AUGUUGUUCACUCUCAGCCAAACUGCUUUGUUUUCACAGAAUACGCUGCUGUCAUUCACAGUGGGCGGAGUCUUCAAAGAAGUUGUUGUAGAUGAUAAAUCUAAAGAAUCUACAAGGUUUUCAUCACAGUUCCAGCAGUGGAUUCUGGUUUGUGCAUCAUCAACGACCAGCUCUUCAUCAGAAUGGCUACAACGGAGCAGAUCAGCAGAGCUUUUGUGCCCCGCCCCCUUCCUCCAGCCCAGUGCCCACCCUCACUGCCCCACAGCAGGAGAUGCUCAGCACCUUCUCCCUGAAGUCAGACAUGAACCUGGAAUGGUCCCUGAAGUGUCUGCAGGACAACAAGUGGGACUUGAACAAAGCAAAACUGUUUUCCAAAUAUUUUCACUAAAAUCAGAGUUAAUAACUUUUAAAAUAUAAUUUAUUUUCAAAGGAAGAAGAAAAACAUUAUGGUUCAAUGUCUGCUUCAAUAAUUUAUUUCUCUUUUUUAAUAAACACUUUUUUUCAAAUAAAGUAAAAGCA
RNAcentral lists this long non-coding RNA (519 nucleotides) under Gouania willdenowi (blunt-snouted clingfish). RNAcentral describes it as "lncRNA (ENSGWIG00000004202.1)". The record is from RNAcentral. Lineage: Eukaryota; Metazoa; Chordata; Actinopteri; Blenniiformes; Gobiesocidae.